RNAcentral lists this ribosomal RNA (513 nucleotides) under Acrobeloides sp. Sourhope farm. RNAcentral describes it as "SSU rRNA". It matches the Rfam family "Eukaryotic small subunit ribosomal RNA", at positions 108 to 618 of the family's 1831-position model. Lineage: Eukaryota; Metazoa; Nematoda; Chromadorea; Rhabditida; Cephalobidae. The record is from RNAcentral.
ACCUAUAAUUUACUUGAUCUUGACACAAUCCUACUUGGAUAACUGUGGUAAUUCUAGAGCUAAUACAUGCAUUAAAGCUCUGACCUCACGGGAAGAGUGCAUUUAUUAGAACAAAACCAAGCGGCUUCGGCUGUUUCUGGUUGACUCAUAGUAACUGAGCUGAUCGCAUGGUCUUGCACCGGCGACGUGUCUUUCAAGUAUCUGCCGUAUCAACUUUCGAUGGUAGUGUAUCUGACUACCAUGGUGAUCACGCGUAACGGAGAAUAAGGGUUCGGCUCCGGAGAGUUCGCCUGAGAAAUCGCGAACACAUCUAAGGAAGGCAGCAGGCGCGAAAAUUACCCACUCUCAGCACGAGGAGGUAGUGACGAAAAAUAACGAGACCGUUCUCUUAUGAGGCCGGUCAUCGGAAUGGGUACAAUUUAAACCCUUUAACGAGUAUCUAUGAGAGGGCAAGUCUGGUGCCAGCAGCCGCGGUAAUUCCAGCUCUCAAAGUGCAUAGAAUUAUUGCUGCGG